UAUAGGCGUAUUAAGAUAAAAACACGCGACCCGAUCAAAUAUAUCAAUAUUUAUAAAAAAUAAUUAAUUUUUUGACUGCAUUGACAUUUGCUACGAAAAGAAGAAAAAAGUGAAAAGAUCAAGGAAACAAUAUUUCACCUCUCAAAGUUCGAGUGAUUAUUUAAAUGAGAGUUUAAAGGUCAUUUAGAUCGGACAAGUGUGAAGGCAUAAUUAUCAAAAGAGAAUAAAUAUAUGUGCGAUAUACGUAAUAAUGCGAUAAAGGAAAAGUAAUAAAGUUAGAAUGAACCGGUAACGACGAAUGAUUCUCGUUGCUCGUUUUAAAGACAUUAUCGUUGAAACCUUUCAUUAAUUUCGAUCCUGGGAAUCGAGAAAGUCAUAAUGCCGAGUAAACUCCUCUCUAAUGCGAUUGAAAUAUUCUCUGAAAGUGGUUGCGUGCAAAAACGUAAGACAUUGUUCGCGUAUGGCCUACGUCGAAUGUGUCUUUGAUAACCACGGAACGAUAAUGCCUUACUCGUGCCAAAAUAUUAUCAAGAAAUCGA
Long non-coding RNA from Vespula pensylvanica (western yellowjacket), 539 nucleotides. RefSeq lists it as uncharacterized. The transcript is spliced from 3 exons. Lineage: Eukaryota; Metazoa; Arthropoda; Insecta; Hymenoptera; Vespidae. The record is from RefSeq and is a predicted model, not a curated record.